RNAcentral lists this ribosomal RNA (1244 nucleotides) under Nocardia paucivorans. RNAcentral's name for it is "bacterial SSU rRNA". It matches the Rfam family "Bacterial small subunit ribosomal RNA", at positions 92 to 1350 of the family's 1533-position model. Lineage: Bacteria; Bacillati; Actinomycetota; Actinomycetes; Mycobacteriales; Nocardiaceae. The record is from RNAcentral.
CGAGCGGCGAACGGGUGAGUAACACGUGGGUGAUCUGCCUCGCACUCUGGGAUAAGCCUGGGAAACUGGGUCUAAUACCGGAUAUGACCACUGGUCGCAUGGUUGGUGGUGGAAAGAUUUAUCGGUGCGAGAUGAGCCCGCGGCCUAUCAGCUUGUUGGUGGGGUAAUGGCCUACCAAGGCGACGACGGGUAGCCGGCCUGAGAGGGCGACCGGCCACACUGGGACUGAGACACGGCCCAAACUCCUACGGGAGGCAGCAGUGGGGAAUAUUGCACAAUGGGCGAAAGCCUGAUGCAGCGACGCCGCGUGAGGGAUGACGGCCUUCGGGUUGUAAACCUCUUUCGACAGGGACGAAGCCCAAGUGACGGUACCUGUAGAAGAAGCACCGGCCAACUACGUGCCAGCAGCCGCGGUAAUACGUAGGGUGCGAGCGUUGUCCGGAAUUACUGGGCGUAAAGAGCUUGUAGGCGGCUUGUCGCGUCGAUCGUGAAAACUCACAGCUCAACUGUGAGCUUGCGGUCGAUACGGGCAGGCUUGAGUACUGCAGGGGAGACUGGAAUUCUUGGUGUAGCGGUGAAAUGCGCAGAUAUCAGGAGGAACACCGGUGGCGAAGGCGGGUCUCUGGGCAGUAACUGACGCUGAGAAGCGAAAGCGUGGGUAGCGAACAGGAUUAGAUACCCUGGUAGUCCACGCCGUAAACGGUGGGUACUAGGUGUGGGUUUCCUUCCACGGGAUCCGUGCCGUAGCUAACGCAUUAAGUACCCCGCCUGGGGAGUACGGCCGCAAGGCUAAAACUCAAAGGAAUUGACGGGGGCCCGCACAAGCGGCGGAGCAUGUGGAUUAAUUCGAUGCAACGCGAAGAACCUUACCUGGGUUUGACAUACACCGGAAACCUGCAGAGAUGUAGGCCCCCUUGUGGUCGGUGUACAGGUGGUGCAUGGCUGUCGUCAGCUCGUGUCGUGAGAUGUUGGGUUAAGUCCCGCAACGAGCGCAACCCUUAUCUUAUGUUGCCAGCGCGUAAUGGCGGGGACUCGUGAGAGACUGCCGGGGUCAACUCGGAGGAAGGUGGGGACGACGUCAAGUCAUCAUGCCCCUUAUGUCCAGGGCUUCACACAUGCUACAAUGGCCGGUACAGAGGGCUGCGAUACCGUGAGGUGGAGCGAAUCCCUUAAAGCCGGUCUCAGUUCGGAUCGGGGUCUGCAACUCGACCCCGUGAAGUUGGAGUCGCUAGUAAUCGCAGAUC